CAGUAGCCACGGGAAUACGGAGGGUGCGAGCGUUAAUCGGAAUAACUGGGCGUAAAGGGCACGCAGGCGGUGACUUAAGUGAGGUGUGAAAGCCCCGGGCUUAACCUGGGAAUUGCAUUUCAUACUGGGUCGCUAGAGUACUUUAGGGAGGGGUAGAAUUCCACGUGUAGCGGUGAAAUGCGUAGAGAUGUGGAGGAAUACCGAAGGCGAAGGCAGCCCCUUGGGAAUGUACUGACGCUCAUGUGCGAAAGCGUGGGGAGCAAACAGGAUUAGAUACCCCCGUAGUCCCUGUCUCUUAUAC
RNAcentral lists this ribosomal RNA (301 nucleotides) under uncultured bacterium. Its description in RNAcentral is "partial 16S ribosomal RNA". It matches the Rfam family "Bacterial small subunit ribosomal RNA", at positions 509 to 807 of the family's 1533-position model. The record is from RNAcentral.